RNAcentral lists this ribosomal RNA (301 nucleotides) under uncultured bacterium. RNAcentral describes it as "partial 16S ribosomal RNA". It matches the Rfam family "Bacterial small subunit ribosomal RNA", at positions 509 to 809 of the family's 1533-position model. The record is from RNAcentral.
CAGUAGCCGCGGUAACACGUAGGGUGCAAGCGUUAAUCGGAAUUACUGGGCGUAAAGCGUGCGCAGGCGGCUAUGCAAGACAGAUGUGAAAUCCCCGGGCUCAACCUGGGAACUGCAUUUGUGACUGCAUGGCUAGAGUACGGUAGAGGGGGAUGGAAUUCCGCGUGUAGCAGUGAAAUGCGUAGAUAUGCGGAGGAACACCGAUGGCGAAGGCAAUCCCCUGGACCUGUACUGACGCUCAUGCACGAAAGCGUGGGGAGCAAACAGGAUUAGAGACCCCUGUAGUCCCUGUCUCUUAUAA